Molecule: microRNA precursor, 204 nt
Organism: Oryza sativa Japonica Group (Japanese rice)
Lineage: Eukaryota; Viridiplantae; Streptophyta; Magnoliopsida; Poales; Poaceae
Rfam family: MIR812 microRNA precursor family
Source: Rfam
AAAGAGGCAAACCGUGGGUUUCUGUGUCCAACUUUGACUGUCUGUCCGUCUUAUAUGAUUUUUUUUAUAAUUCGUAUUUUCAUUGUUGUUAGAUGAUAAAACAUGAUUAAUAUUUUAUGCGUGUCUUGUCUUAUUUUUUUCAUAAUUUUUUCAAAUAAGACGAACGGUCAAACGUUGGACACGGAAACCAGGGUUUGUCUUUUU